UACGUAGGGGGCUAGCGUUGUCCGGAAUCAUUGGGCGUAAAGCGCGUGUAGGCGGCCCGGUAAGUCCGCUGUGAAAGUCGGGGGCUCAACCCUCGGAUGCCGGUGGAUACUGUCGGGCUUGAGUACGGAAGAGGCGAGUGGAAUUCCUGGUGUAGUGGUGAAAUGCGCAGAUAUCAGGAGGAACACCAAUUGCGAAGGCAGCUCGCUGGGACGUUACUGACGCUGAGACGCGAAAGCGUGGGGAGCAAACAGG
This 253-nucleotide ribosomal RNA is filed under the name uncultured bacterium. RNAcentral describes it as "partial 16S ribosomal RNA". It matches the Rfam family "Bacterial small subunit ribosomal RNA", at positions 524 to 776 of the family's 1533-position model. The record is from RNAcentral.